UUUCCGUAGGUGAACCUGCGGAAGGAUCAUUCUAAUAACAUUAACGAAAAACCUAUGCGUAUGGUUCUGUGCUACUGAGACGGGAUCGUUUGUGCUGAUUUGAUUUUGAUUGGGUAGUCUUUCUUUUCAUUAGCUUUAGCAGUGUUCUCAUACUCCAUUCAACCUAAUCAUUAAACUUUGUUUUAACCUUUUCAUACUCUUGGCUAAUAACCUUGAGAUGAGAUAAAUACGAAACAUAAGAAGAACUCUUAGCAACGGAAAUCUUGGCUCUCGCACCGC
Molecule: unclassified non-coding RNA, 279 nt
Filed under: plant metagenome
Description: partial contains small subunit ribosomal RNA, internal transcribed spacer 1, and 5.8S ribosomal RNA
Source: RNAcentral